UAAAGUGCAAAGCGAUGCUUCGUUUCCCGAAUCAGAGACGAAGUAAUAACAACAGAUUAACAGUUAAUGUGAAUUCAGGUUUGUUGGGCUAAACCCACCCUGUCCCGCAGCUUUUUUUGUCCUUUUUACAUUCUCUCAUUCACACUCUGCUUCUGCUUCACUCGGCCCCUGCCUCUACCCUACCCUGCCGAUUCCUCUUCCGACUUUUAACCCACCCCGUCCCGCAGCUUAUAUAUGUUUAUUUUUUGUGUGAGGGCGCUGCCUCUGCCUCGAGCCUGCAGCUAACGGAGCGUGUUGGUGUGAGAAGUGUUGUAGAUGUAGAUGACAGAUGAAGAACAAAUUUUAAAUUUGACAAAACACCGCUAAGGUGCAGAUGCACUAUUGUCCCAAUGACCAGUUUUGGUGGCCAAAAGCUAAUUUUUAAAAGUUAAAACCAAGACUCGGACACUUUCGAAAAAUCUGAUGUGAAACCUAGCUGUCAUUAUUGCACAGAAUGUGCAGGGAAAAAGUACCAAUUUUAUUUCUGUUUUAAAUAUCUCAUAAAUUGGAAAAUACGAUUAACUGAUCCAAUUUUUUUGAUGCAUUUUAUUUAGUAGGAUUUUUACUACGUGUUCUGUAAUGUGAACGAUAUCUAGUGGUUGGCGAUGUCUUCUACAUCUAGAUGUAGUCCUGAGUGCCGGGUAUAAAAGUUGUGACACGUAAGAAGCGUCUCACACGUCCCUUCUCGUUGUUUACUACUUUUACCACGUUCUUUCUCAACAAUAUGCCAAAAUACACACAUCCAUAAACUAUUCCCUUGGGCACCCAAUAAGAAAGGCAGUAUGUAAUUCAAAAAGAAAUCAGAUUGGAGCCGUACUUUAAUCCCAAACCAUUAUUCUUUAUGAGAUGUUCUGUCAAAUCAUGCCAAAAUACAAAAAAUGCUUUGAAUGCCAGAGUAUACAAAAGGCCUUUCUGAAUUAUCAACAGGAGAUAUAAGAUAAUGAUGAUGGCAGAGGGGGACUUGGGCUAACUUUUGACUUUAUUUCAGCCAAAAAUGGGGCUAACAAGUUUUAAAAGUAGAACAAGAUAACGAACAAUUGUCUGUUUCAACAUGCCCCCUAAAAUGUGCUUCAUUCUUCUUCUCUUUUUCAAUAACGGAGAGGAACGGAGAUACAUACUUUCGUAAGUUCCAGCCGAGCUUUGAGGACUUUUUUAUAAAAUGUUCAGCAAUAUAUAAACACUGUAAGUCGCUG
Molecule: long non-coding RNA, 1232 nt
Filed under: Drosophila guanche
Lineage: Eukaryota; Metazoa; Arthropoda; Insecta; Diptera; Drosophilidae
Source: RNAcentral